GAUCCUGGCUUAGGAUGAACGCUAGCGGCAGGCUUAACACAUGCAAGUCGAGGGGCAGCGCGAGUAGCAAUACUUGGCGGCGACCGGCGCAAGGGUGCGUAACGCGUGAGCAACAUGCCCGUAUCAGGGGGAUAAUCCAGGGAAACUUGGUCUAAUACCCCAUAGUAAUUUUGUAAGGCAUCUUAUAAGAUUUAAAGCUUUGGUGGAUACGGAUUGGCUCGCGUGACAUUAGCUGGAUGGUAAGGUAACGGCUUACCAUGGCUAUGAUGUCUAGGGGUUCUGAGAGGAAGGUCCCCCCACACUGGAACUGAGACACGGUCCAGACUCCUACGGGAGGCAGCAGUGAGGAAUAUUGGACAAUGGAUGGAAAUCUGAUCCAGCCAUGCCGCGUGAAGGAAAAGAAGGUCCUAUGGAUUGUAAACUUCUUUUGUAUGGGAGCAAUAAGGCCUACGAGUAGGUUGAUGAGAGUACCAUACGAAUAAGCACCGGCUAACUCCGUGCCAGCAGCGGC
RNAcentral lists this ribosomal RNA (511 nucleotides) under uncultured bacterium. RNAcentral's name for it is "bacterial SSU rRNA". It matches the Rfam family "Bacterial small subunit ribosomal RNA", at positions 15 to 518 of the family's 1533-position model. The record is from RNAcentral.